AUCCUGGCUCAGGAUGAACGCUAGCGACAGGCUUAACACAUGCAAGUCGAGGGGCAGCGGGGAAGUAGCAAUACUUCCGCCGGCGACCGGCGCACGGGUGAGUAACACGUAUGGAACCUGCCCGUAGCAGGGGGAUAAGCGGAAGAAAUUCCGUCUAAUACCGCGUAAUAACUCCGAGAGGCAUCUCAUGGAGUUUAAAGGGUAACACCGGCUACGGAUGGCCAUGCGGCGCAUUAGCUAGUUGGCGGGGUAACGGCCCACCAAGGCGACGAUGCGUAGGGGUUCUGAGAGGAAGGUCCCCCACACUGGUACUGAGACACGGACCAGACUCCUACGGGAGGCAGCAGUGAGGAAUAUUGGUCAAUGGGCGCGAGCCUGAACCAGCCAAGUCGCGUGAGGGAAGACGGUCCUAUGGAUUGUAAACCUCUUUUGUCGGGGAGCAAAAGACGCCACGUGUGGCGUUCCGAGAGUACCCGAAGAAAAAGCAUUCGGCUAACUCCGUGNCCAGCAGCCGCGGUAAUACGGAGGAUGCGAGCGUUAUCCGGAUUUAUUGGGUUUAAAGGGUGCGCAGGCGGAAGAUCAAGUUCAGCGGUAAAAUUGAGAGGCUCAACCUCUUCGAGCCGUUGAAACUGGUUUUCUUGAGUGAGCGAGAAGUAUGCGGAAUGCGUGGUGUAGCGGUGAAAUGCAUAGAUAUCACGCAGAACUCCGAUUGCGAAGGCAGCAUACCGGCGCUCAACUGACGCUCAUGCACGAAAGUGUGGGUAUCGAACAGGAUUAGAUACCCUGGUAGUCCACACAGUAAACGAUGAAUACUAAUUGUUCGGGGAGAAUGAUCCCUGAGUGAUACAGCGAAAGCGUUAAGUAUUCCACCUGGGGAGUACGCCGGCAACGGUGAAACUCAAAGGAAUUGACGGGGGCCCGCACAAGCGGAGGAACAUGUGGUUUAAUUCGAUGAUACGCGAGGAACCUUACCCGGGCUCAAACGACACAGGAAUACUUUUGAAAGGAGGUAGCUCUACGGAGCCUGUGUCGAGGUGCUGCAUGGUUGUCGUCAGCUCGUGCCGUGAGGUGUCGGCUUAAGUGCCAUAACGAGCGCAACCCCCAUCGCCAGUUACCAGCAAGUCAAGUUGGGGACUCUGGCGAGACUGCCGGCGCAAGCUGUGAGGAAGGCGGGGAUGACGUCAAAUCAGCACGGCCCUUACGUCCGGGGCGACACACGUGUUACAAUGGCAGGUACAGAGAGAAGCAAUGCGGCGACGCAAAGCGGAACUUGAAAGCCUGUCUCAGUUCGGAUUGGAGUCUGCAACUCGACUCCAUGAAGCUGGAUUCGCUAGUAAUCGCGCAUCAGCCAUGGCGCGGUGAAUACGUUCCCGGGCCUUGUACACACCGCCCGUCAAGCCAUGGAAGCCGGGAGUGCCUGAAGUGUGCAACCGCAAGGAGCGNCCUAAGGUAAAACUGGUGACUGGGGCUAAGUCGUAACAAGGUAGCC
RNAcentral lists this ribosomal RNA (1489 nucleotides) under uncultured bacterium. RNAcentral describes it as "16S ribosomal RNA". It matches the Rfam family "Bacterial small subunit ribosomal RNA". The record is from RNAcentral.